UAGAUACCCGCGUAGUCCAUGCCGUAAACGAUGUGUGCUAGACGUUGGAAAUAUAUUUUUCAGUGUCGCAGCGAAAGCGUUAAGCACACCGCCUGGGGAGUACGACCGCAAGGUUAAAACUCAAAUGAAUUGACGGGGACCCGCACAAGCAGUGGAGCAUGUGGUUUAAUUCGAAGAUACGCGCAGAACCUUACCAACACUUGACAUGUUCGUCGCGAGACUAAGAGAUUAGUCUUUUCAGUUCGGCUGGACGAAACACAGGUGCUGCAUGGCCGCCGUCAG
Molecule: ribosomal RNA, 282 nt
Filed under: uncultured bacterium
Lineage: Bacteria
Description: partial 16S ribosomal RNA
Rfam family: Bacterial small subunit ribosomal RNA
Source: RNAcentral